CGGUUCGUGGGUGAGAGGAUGAUACCACCUGUCUGUAAAACAGGAUCCGCAAGGACACGCUCGUUCGAAUCGAGCCGAACCGACCA
Molecule: transfer RNA, 86 nt
Filed under: Candidatus Melainabacteria bacterium
Lineage: Bacteria; Bacillati; Candidatus Melainabacteria
Also listed under: 1 other name
Description: tRNA-Tyr
Rfam family: tRNA
About the family: Transfer RNA (tRNA) molecules are approximately 80 nucleotides in length.
Source: RNAcentral